CUGUUGGUACCAUGGACCGCGGACCGCGGCCCAUGGACCGAACCGGACCGGACAAGACGGCCCAGACGGACGGAUGGGCGGGCGGACGAGCGGACGGACGAGCGGACGGACGGGGCCGACCGUACGAACCCACGAGGCCCAAUGACAACAAGUGAAGUCUAUAAAUACCUAUCCUGGUCCAACUGGGAGGGGGGUUGAUAAUUCUGAGAGAGUGAACACUGGAGAGUUGAGGUUGUGGGCUUACACCGGCGAGCACACGCACCAACAGUGGUGAACCUGACGUGAAACGAAAUACAUGGCGGCCGGAGAGAAGAGGAUGACGAAGAGCGGUUACCAGGUAGGGGAGAGCUCCAAGCGACCCGAGCGGGAGCCGGAGGAGUAUCGGCCGGAGCGACGUCACUCCCGGGACCGGUACUCAGAGGAAGUAAGAGCCAACGAGGAGUGGGACGACGAGGAUAGACUGCGUAUGGAGAUCGAGGAGAUCAGGUACGGCUGGGAGUCACCCGAGAGGCGCCGGCACGAAGGGGCGGCAUCUCCACCGAGGGCCAGGAGAACGCGGUCCCGGUCGCGAUCCCGGGAGAGAAGGGAGAAGGAGCGCGAGAAGCUCCGACGAAGGGAGCGCGCGAAGGAGAAGGAUCGCACGG
RNAcentral lists this long non-coding RNA (644 nucleotides) under Zostera marina. RNAcentral's name for it is "long non-coding RNA (ZMAR_LNC005076)". The record is from RNAcentral. Lineage: Eukaryota; Viridiplantae; Streptophyta; Magnoliopsida; Alismatales; Zosteraceae.